UUUAUAAGAAAAAACCUUAAACCAUCUCGAACUAAGAAGUGAAACUUAUAAAAGGUGAAAAUACUGAAAGGGAGGCCUUUUGGGAAAAUAACUUAAUGCU
This 100-nucleotide ribosomal RNA is filed under the name Prototheca wickerhamii. Lineage: Eukaryota; Viridiplantae; Chlorophyta; Trebouxiophyceae; Chlorellales; Chlorellaceae. The record is from RNAcentral.